This is a non-coding RNA of Schizosaccharomyces pombe (fission yeast), 762 nucleotides long. Lineage: Eukaryota; Fungi; Ascomycota; Schizosaccharomycetes; Schizosaccharomycetales; Schizosaccharomycetaceae. The record is from the annotation of a GenBank genome assembly.
AGGUUGCAAGCAAAUACCAUAAAAGUGCAAUCUAUGUAUGCGAAAUUGUUAGAUAAGUAUUAUGAUUGAAGGGAAAUAAAUUUAAGCCACAGGGAAAAAGGAGCAAGAAUAGCAUAAAGGACUAAAAUCAAGGAAUGGGACCAUGCUCAAUUCAUCAGUUUAUUCACCAAAAUCUGACAUUUAGGAAAUGUCAACAAGUGAACGUAGCAAAGCUUGUUCUGAAGCAAAAGGGUAAAAAUAUUUGAGAAGUGUAAUAUAGAAAAAAUAGGAUAUACAAGUUUCGAGUACAAAUGAAGUUAAGAGGUAUUACAUUCAGUAAGAAGACUUGAUGAACGGACGAGAAACGCAAAGAAAAAAAAAGAUCGAAAACCUCUAGCGCAUUGAAAGCAAUGGAUUGGGACUACGAGCUUUAGACGGUUGCUUAUGAGAAGAGUGCACGCUUGGUGGGGGGUUUUGCCCGGAUGCGGCAUGCAAUUGGGCAAAAUAAGAGGAAGAAUUAGUCGACUGUAAAUAAAAUGUUAGUAAAUACUUUAAAUAAAACGAGUUGGUUCAAAAUAUCUCAAGUUCCUAUACACUAACCUUCUUAGACUUUUUGACCGUAAUAGUUUGUGAAGGUUUCACCAAUUCAAUGCUUAAUUCUUGUAGAGGACGACGUUGUAGAGGGCGUUGAACUCUAUAAAGAGCAUUGGACGAAUCCAUAUGGGCCUUCUCCAUGUUUGGAGGCUCAUUUUCCUUGUUGUCGGUGUUUACCAUGUUUUCAAA